GACUCGGUGGUGCAGUGGGUAGCACUGCUGCCUAACAGCAAGAAGGUUAUGCGUUAGAAUCCAACCUGGGACC
Molecule: non-coding RNA, 73 nt
Organism: Gymnothorax javanicus (giant moray)
Lineage: Eukaryota; Metazoa; Chordata; Actinopteri; Anguilliformes; Muraenidae
Source: the annotation of a GenBank genome assembly